AAAUGACCAAUCAGUCUUCCACUAUACAAUCCUGACUUGUAGAAAUAAUCCCCGUGAAGGAUGGCACAAAUACAACCAAAUAUAUCCUACAAUCAGUCUGAUGGUACGCUUUGAACUCCGAACCAAGCUCAUCGAAGGCCAACUUCCGAAUACUAAGGAGACUGCCACAUCUGACAGCUAACCAGUUGUUGCCACAGUGCAUCCAAUCUACACUACAAGCACCAAGGGGGCGCUGUGCACAACAUCAUAAAUCUAACAAUUCCUCCACAGCCACUUGAUACAUCAUCAACAAGUCCAUGACCCAUCAAAACUCCUUCUCAAAGCAAUGCAACCCUAAAACAACCCUUGACAACUUGAGUAACCGAUCAAUCCCUCACCCGUGAACAACUGUAGAACUAGUUCGGUGUAAGUCGACGGAACGACACUACGAAAGUUCGGCAGAUGUCAACCAACAGCUGUCUCUUAACCUUGUUUACGAAUAUUUACAAAAUAUAUUGUUCCAACCUAUUUUCAACUAUUUACCAAUCCUUAUUCAUGCGAUGGAAUAGAAACAUAUAAGGCGAUAUGGCUCUAAUAUGUCAGUAAACCUUCUGGAAGUGAUGAAUAACAAUCUAUGCAAGAAAUAUUCUCGGAAAGGUAUAGGGAAUAAGGCAGACAACGGCU
Molecule: long non-coding RNA, 663 nt
Organism: Leptinotarsa decemlineata (Colorado potato beetle)
Lineage: Eukaryota; Metazoa; Arthropoda; Insecta; Coleoptera; Chrysomelidae
Source: RefSeq, a predicted model, not a curated record